Molecule: ribosomal RNA, 400 nt
Filed under: uncultured bacterium
Lineage: Bacteria
Description: partial 16S ribosomal RNA
Rfam family: Archaeal small subunit ribosomal RNA
Source: RNAcentral
AUACCAGCACCCCGAGUGGUCGGGACGAUUAUUGGGCCUAAAGCAUCCGUAGCCGGCCUUACAAGUCCUCCGUUAAAUCCAGCUGCUCAACAGACGGGCUGCGGAGGAUACUAUAAGACUAGGAGGGAGGAGAGGCAAGCGGCACUCAGUGGGUAGGGGUAAAAUCGGUUGAUCCAUUUAAGACCACCAGUGGCGAAGGCGGCUUGCCAGAAUGCGCUCGACGGUGAGGGAUGAAAGCUGGGGGAGCAAACCGGGUUAGAUACCCGGGUAGUCCCAGCUGUAAACGAUGCAGACUCGGUGAUGGACUAGCUUUAUGCUGGUCCAGUGCCGCAGGGAAGCCGUUAAGUCUGCCGCCUGGGUAGUACGGUCGCAAGACUGAAACUCAAAGGAAUUGACGGGG